This 531-nucleotide ribosomal RNA is filed under the name uncultured Nitrososphaerota archaeon. RNAcentral's name for it is "bacterial SSU rRNA". It matches the Rfam family "Archaeal small subunit ribosomal RNA", at positions 452 to 981 of the family's 1478-position model. Lineage: Archaea; Thermoproteati; Nitrososphaerota. The record is from RNAcentral.
CUGGUGUCCGCCGCCGCGGUAAUACCAGCACCCCGAGUGGUCGGGACGAUUAUUGGGCCUAAAGCAUCCGUAGCCGGUACUGCAAGUCUUCCGUUAAAUCCACCUGCUCAACAGUUGGGCUGCGGGGGAUACUACAGCGCUAGGAGGCGGGAGAGGCAAGCGGUACUUAAUGGGUAGGGGUAAAAUCCACUGAUCCAUUGAAGACCACCAGUGGCGAAGGCGGCUUGCCAGAACGCGCUCGACGGUGAGGGAUGAAAGCUGGGGGAGCAAACCGGAUUAGAUACCCGGGUAGUCCCAGCUGUAAACGAUGCAGACUCGGUGAUGGGCUGGCCUUGUGCCAACCCAGUGCCGCAGGGAAGCCGUUAAGUCUGCCGCCUGGGGAGUACGGUCGCUAGACUGAAACCUAAAGGAAUUGGCGGGGGAGCACCACAAGGGGUGAAGCCUGCGGUUCAAUUGGAGUCUACUCCGGGAAUCUUACCGGGGGGCGACAGCAGAGUGAAGGUCAAGCUGAAAACUUUUACCAUACAAGCU